UGAGAUUUGCAGCUAUACUGGAACAGAGAUCUUACCCAUGUCUGCAGGAGAUAUCAAAACAUCCAUGUGCAGCACAGAGGUUACAUCACAUGCAGCUGGAAUGUGGAGUUUACUUAGCUGUUUAUUUGAGAUAAGGAUUAUGGGCCUAUGAACUGGGCUGAAAUUCUCUUCAGGGUCAGAUUUGUAGGAGAUUUUCAGUGAAGUAUUGGUUUAUUUGGGAUUAUUUAACUGUCAGUAGAUUAGACAGAAAAGUUCCCCUAAAUGAGAUUGUAGGGAGUCCUCCAGAAAGUGUUGAAGGAAGGAUUGUGGUACUCUGCUCUCAGCCCUUGCACUGAUGUCAUAGAGAAGCAGUUCUGACUGCAGUAAAUGGAUAGCAGUUCCAGUAAAUGGAUAUUGUUAAAUAUUGUUAACUUGCGCUGAGAAGCCAAGGGCAGCCUUAGUCACUGCUAUCCCACACCCUGUGCGUCUGCAAGUAUUUCCCAACAUUAGACAAUGAAGUAGUUAUCACAGAAAGGCCUAUUAUGAAGUCUGAAAAGAAGACUGCAGUGCUAGCUGUCCAGAAGAUAUAAGAAAAAAUUGGAUGGGAAUGAGAGCUUUCAAGCUCCUUUCAGCCUCUGAGGUAUUGCUCGACAUUAAAACCAUGAAGGUUCCAACUGUAUUCCAUCUGGCCCUUCUCUGAUGGUGACCAGCAGAAACUAUGGGGAGGAGUACAAGGACAUGUAGUAUUUUCCCCACAUCACUUUGUAAAAACACUUGGGCUUCACCUGCAAAUUGACCACGACCCAGUGCCCUGAACCAGCCAAAGCCUUUGACCGUGCAAAUACUGGAGUAGCAUGUCACAAGGUAGCACGACACGUUUCAGCAAAGUUAUUUUUCCAAUUGACCCUACAUUUUCAAGAACUACUCUUUGGUUCACUUACAUAUUAAGAAUAUUACAAAUGAAACAAGUGCCAAACUGACGGUCAAAGUAAGAAUAAAGGUGACGAAGAACAAA
Passer domesticus (house sparrow) is the source of this 994-nucleotide long non-coding RNA. RefSeq lists it as uncharacterized. The transcript has 3 exons. NCBI's taxonomy places the organism in Eukaryota, Metazoa, Chordata, Aves, Passeriformes, Passeridae. The record is from RefSeq and is a predicted model, not a curated record.